Long non-coding RNA from Neopelma chrysocephalum (saffron-crested tyrant-manakin), 341 nucleotides. RefSeq lists it as uncharacterized. The record is from RefSeq and is a predicted model, not a curated record. NCBI's taxonomy places the organism in Eukaryota, Metazoa, Chordata, Aves, Passeriformes, Pipridae. The transcript has 3 exons.
CCAACACACUGGACAUUAGCCCAGCUUCCAAAUGCAUCUCUCUGUUAGAUUUGGAACCUGGGAUUUCCUACUUGAUCCCUCGAACUAGAAAGAAAGGGGCAGCCAUUUUGACCAUCCUCCUUGAACCGGCCACACCUCAGGUGAGAUAUCGUGGUGACAACUCAUCUAGCAACACCAUUACCCAAAGGUACUGGCACAGUCUGUUUUGGUAGUACACAUGAAAACAAACAAGGAAAGAGACAGAAAGCACAGGCAAUUCCUUGGAUGUCGUGUUUUGCUGAGGCUAUAAAGUGGAGGAGGCAGAGAUUUGUUGGGAUUCUUGCUCGGCACACACAGCCAAA